Long non-coding RNA from Schistocerca americana (American grasshopper), 511 nucleotides. RefSeq lists it as uncharacterized. The record is from RefSeq and is a predicted model, not a curated record. NCBI's taxonomy places the organism in Eukaryota, Metazoa, Arthropoda, Insecta, Orthoptera, Acrididae. The transcript has 3 exons.
AGGUUUGCGUGCCGUCACAGUACGUGCCUGCUCGUUAUUGUACUACAGCAGCUUCAGCAACAUAUCCGUUUCGUUUUAAUAGACAGAGGCCUGGAAGCUCCCGUUUGCAGCAGCUAUGAAACUUAUCCUGCUCGUCGUCUUUGGUCUGCUAUUGUCGGCCACGGGCACUGCAGCCCAGUGGUGGGACGAGUGCGAGAAGCCGGUGUGCGCCAGCUGUGACGGCUUGAGCGUCACCUUCAUGAGCCAGUGCGAGCUCGAAACCUACAACUGCCAGAACGGGAACUGGUGCACCCAAGUCAGCGACACAGCGUGUACAGCCUCGAGGAAGCGGUAACCCAACCAAGACAGCUGCUGGCGAAAACAUCAAUAUGUUGUACUUUUCUACUCAGUUUUUCUUGUGGCAUACUGAGGGUUCAGAUCUAUGUCUCGAUCUUCUCAGUGAGUUGACGUUGUCUUAAAAAAAAAUUUAAAAAAAAUGGAUGAACGAAGAAAUAAAACUUUGACUUAUCUG